UUUCCGUAGGUGAACCUGCGGAAGGAUCAUUCAUAAUAAAGUGUUUUAUGGCACUUUUUAAAAAUCCAUAUCCACCUUUUGUGCAAUGUUAGAUCUCGUCAAUCUUGGCGAGAUUUGUAUACAUCAACUCAUUCUUUAACUAAUUUGUCUGAAAAAUAUUAUGAAUACUUAAUUCAAAAUACAACUUUCAACAACGGAUCUCUUGGCUCUC
This 211-nucleotide unclassified non-coding RNA is filed under the name plant metagenome. RNAcentral describes it as "partial contains small subunit ribosomal RNA, internal transcribed spacer 1, and 5.8S ribosomal RNA". The record is from RNAcentral.